Molecule: ribosomal RNA, 497 nt
Filed under: uncultured bacterium
Lineage: Bacteria
Description: partial 16S ribosomal RNA
Rfam family: Bacterial small subunit ribosomal RNA
Source: RNAcentral
GAUGAACGCUGGCAGCGUGCCUAAUACAUGCAAGUCGAGCGAACAGACGAGGAGCUUGCUCCUCUGACGUUAGCGGCGGACGGGUGAGUAACACGUGGAUAACCUACCUAUAAGACUGGGAUAACUUCGGGAAACCGGAGCUAAUACCGGAUAAUAUAUUGAACCGCAUGGUUCAAUAGUGAAAGACGGUUUUGCUGUCACUUAUAGAUGGAUCCGCGCCGCAUUAGCUAGUUGGUAAGGUAACGGCUUACCAAGACAACGAUGCGUAGCCGACCUGAGAGGGUGAUCGGCCACACUGGAACUGAGACACGGUCCAGACUCCUACGGGAGGCAGCAGUAGGGAAUCUUCCGCAAUGGGCGAAAGCCUGACGGAGCAACGCCGCGUGAGUGAUGAAGGUCUUCGGAUCGUAAAACUCUGUUAUUAGGGAAGAACAAAUGUGUAAGUAACUAUGCACGUCUUGACGGUACCUAAUCAGAAAGCCACGGCUAACUACGUG